UCGGGGACAUGAACUUGGGUUCAGCAACAACGGCAUGGCCAGGCCUCAGCACCAGACUUUGCCAAACUCAUCACUGACAGCUGGAUGGCCGCAUGCUUCUUAGAGAUGCAGGAGCACCCAUUUCCCUUGAUUUCAACAAGAGGAAGGAAGAACUGAUGAGAAAGUCCUCUCAGGCUAACAGACUUACUUUACCAGACAUACCUGAAAUGGAUGAUUUGUAUAUUUCAGGACAGAGUUCCCCUACAAAAUUAAAUUUCCAUCUCAUUCGGAUAUUACUGAAAUUGCAAAGACCAGAAAAACACUGCUGCUCCAACUGGAGAUUCACCAGUCAGCAUCAACAAAAGCAAUCAGGCAGGUAAAGUCUUUUGAAAUUGCUCUGUGCUAAAAAUAGAAGAGUUAGCCAAAUGCUGAGCACACAAUACAACAAAAGAGACGCUAGACUCUGGGCUUCCUGACUGGGGUGCGUGUGGGGGCAACUGAGCAGCACGCAGUUCAGACGGAUGGGUGCACAGGACAAUGUGAAAUGUACACUAGCUGCUAUGUUUGAGAAAUGAAUUAGUAAAUGAUCGAGUGUGACUGUACCACUACCGUGUAAACAGUGGCUCUGUUUCUCGUAGCAAUGCCUGGGACAUAGCCUUCAGAGUAAAAAUAUUUACCGUCUAUUUAUAGAGAUGGCAAAAAAAAACUUAUGAAAUAAUCAAUAAACAUGUAUUAAGCAACUGCAUCUAAGUAUGGGACACAAUGCCCAGUGAAGAUUAAACAAGAUAUAUGUCAUAGGAGAUCUUUUGUUUUUUGAGAGGUUUUAAUGUU
This 810-nucleotide long non-coding RNA is filed under the name Bos taurus (domestic cattle). RNAcentral describes it as "long non-coding RNA NONBTAT008978". Lineage: Eukaryota; Metazoa; Chordata; Mammalia; Artiodactyla; Bovidae. The record is from RNAcentral.